GAAUCUUCCACAAUGGACGAAAGUCUGAUGGAGCAAUGCCGCGUGAGCGAAGAAGGUUUUCGGAUCGUAAAGCUCUGUUGUAAGGGAAGAACACGUACGGGAGUAACUGCCCGUACCUUGACGGUACCUUAUUAGAAAGCAACGGCUAACUACCUUCCAGCAGCCGCGGUAAUACGUAGGUGGCAAGCGUUGUCCGGAAUUAUGGGGCGGAAAGCGCGGGCAGGCGGUCCUUUAAGUCUGAGGUGAAAGCCCACGGCUCAACCGGGGAGGGUCAUUGGAAACUGGGGGACUUGAGUACAGAAGAGGAAAGAGGAAUUCCACGUGUAGCGGUGAAAUGCGUAGAGAUGUGGAGGAACACCAGUGGCGAAGGCGGCUUUCUGGUCUGUAACUGACGCUGAGGCGCGAAAGCGUGGGGAGCAAACA
Molecule: ribosomal RNA, 423 nt
Filed under: uncultured bacterium
Lineage: Bacteria
Description: partial 16S ribosomal RNA
Rfam family: Bacterial small subunit ribosomal RNA
Source: RNAcentral